AGCUUUGCACAGUGGCAAUAUCAUAGCCAAUGAGGUUUAUCUGAGGUGCAAUUAUUGCUGAUUGAAAACUUUUUCCAAGAAAAGCUUCUUAAGAAAUCAAUUCUCUGGGAUUCACUUCACUGUG
Molecule: small nuclear RNA, 124 nt
Organism: Heterocephalus glaber (naked mole-rat)
Lineage: Eukaryota; Metazoa; Chordata; Mammalia; Rodentia; Bathyergidae
Gene: U4
Rfam family: U4 spliceosomal RNA
About the family: U4 small nuclear RNA (U4 snRNA) is a component of the major U2-dependent spliceosome.
Source: Ensembl